This 80-nucleotide small RNA is filed under the name Flavobacterium pectinovorum. Its description in RNAcentral is "Flavo-1 RNA". It matches the Rfam family "Flavo-1 RNA". Lineage: Bacteria; Pseudomonadati; Bacteroidota; Flavobacteriia; Flavobacteriales; Flavobacteriaceae. The record is from RNAcentral.
UUUUAGCCCUGAUAGUAGUGGAAAUCCUUUUUCUGGCUUCUUUAGUCAGGAAAAGAUUGAAACGAAUAGCAGGAUUAGCU